GACCGCGUAGCUCAGUUGGUAGAGCAUUGGGCUAGUAUUCCAAAGGUCGUAGGUUUGAUUCCCACCGUGGUCA
This is a non-coding RNA of Paramuricea clavata, 73 nucleotides long. The record is from the annotation of a GenBank genome assembly. Lineage: Eukaryota; Metazoa; Cnidaria; Anthozoa; Malacalcyonacea; Plexauridae.